Molecule: ribosomal RNA, 253 nt
Filed under: uncultured bacterium
Lineage: Bacteria
Description: partial 16S ribosomal RNA
Rfam family: Bacterial small subunit ribosomal RNA
Source: RNAcentral
UACGGAGGGAGCUAGCGUUCUUCGGAAUUACUGGGCGUAAAGCGCACGUAGGCGGCUUUGUAAGUUAGAGGUGAAAGCCUGGAGCUCAACUCCAGAACUGCCUUUAAGACUGCAUCGCUUGAAUCCAGGAGAGGUGAGUGGAAUUCCGAGUGUAGAGGUGAAAUUCGUAGAUAUUCGGAAGAACACCAGUGGCGAAGGCGGCUCACUGGACUGGUAUUGACGCUGAGGUGCGAAAGCGUGGGGAGCAAACAGG